GAUGAACGCUGGCGGCGUGCCUAAUACAUGCAAGUCGAGCGAACAGACGAGGCGCUUGCUCCUCUGACGUUAGCGGCGGACGGGUGAGUCACACGUGGAUAACCUACCUAUAAGACUGGGAUCACUUCGGGAAAGCGGCGCUAAUACCGGAUGAUAUAUUGAACCGCAGGGUGCAAUAGUGAAAGACGGUUUUGCUGUCUCGUAUAGAUGCAUCCCGGCCGCAUUAGCUGGUUGGUAAGGUAACGGCCUAUGAAGGCGACGAUGCGUAGCCGAGCGGAGAGGCGGAUCGGCCACACGGGAAGUGAGACACGGUCCAGAGUACUACGGGAGGCAGCAGUAGGGAAUCUGCCGCAAUGGUCGAAAGCCUGACGGAGCAACGCCGCGUGUGAGAUGACGGUCCUGGGUGCGUAAAGCCCUGCUAUGGGUUAAGAACCACUGUCGACUUAGCCAUGCCGGUCGUGACGGUACCGAAUCAGAAAGCACCGGCUAACUACGUG
Molecule: ribosomal RNA, 497 nt
Filed under: uncultured bacterium
Lineage: Bacteria
Description: partial 16S ribosomal RNA
Rfam family: Bacterial small subunit ribosomal RNA
Source: RNAcentral